GACGAACGCUGGCGGCGUGCCUAAUACAUGCAAGUAGAACGCUGAAGGAGGAGCUUGCUUCUCUGGAUGAGUUGCGAACGGGUGAGUAACGCGUAGGUAACCUGCCUGGUAGCGGGGGAAAACUAUUGGAAACGAUGGCUAUUACCCCAUAGAAGUAGAGGUGGAAUAACAUUUGCUAAAAGGUUGCAUUUGAUUCACUACCGGAGGACCCUGCGUGGUAUUAGCUAGUUGGUGGGGUAACGGCUCACCAAGGCGACGAUACAUAGCCGACCUGAGAGGGUGAUCGGCCACACUGGGACUGAGACACGGCCCAGACUCCUACGGGAGGCAGCAGUAGGGAAUCUUCGGCAAUGGACGGAAGUCUGACCGAGCAACGCCGCGUGAGUGAAGAAGGUUUUCGGAUCGUAAAGCUCUGUUGUAAGAGAAGAACGAGGGUGAGAGUGGAAAGUUCACACUGUGACGGUAUCUUACCAGAAAGGGACGGCUAACUACGUG
Molecule: ribosomal RNA, 495 nt
Filed under: uncultured bacterium
Lineage: Bacteria
Description: partial 16S ribosomal RNA
Rfam family: Bacterial small subunit ribosomal RNA
Source: RNAcentral